AAAUGAUCGCGGGAAGCCUGAAAAAAGGAGCAGGCAGAUUCCACUCUGUCCUGAAUCUGGCUUGGAAAGCCAUCUGGAUCAAAGACACAGGACUCCCAAAAUCCAGAUAAAGUGGCAACUAGAACCAGCUUUUCCUCUCCUCUUCAGUGACUUCUCACUACAGGGCAAGAAGAACUUCUCUGUUGUGGUAUCACCCAGUCUAAUGCUUUGUUUUUCAACUGCAUGUUUUUACCACCGGUAUCUUCGUUCGGACUUGGACCAGGAACAACCCAGGAUGAGGGCGCAGUGCUAAUUAUUUCAGGUCUAUAGAGAGGACAACCAUUUCCCGAAGGAAAAAGAGUUUCUUUCUGAACAUCGCUGCCAGGUGGUGUUUUAUAUAUAGCACUGAAGCCAUUUGGGGGUUUUCCAGAGACAGCUGCAUUUUCUAUUGCUUCAGAGGGAUUCGAUUUGAACUGCAUCUCUGGAUUUCUUUCAGGAGUAAAUCCAAGACCAGCUAUA
Mauremys mutica (yellowpond turtle) is the source of this 498-nucleotide long non-coding RNA. RefSeq lists it as uncharacterized. The transcript is spliced from 5 exons. NCBI's taxonomy places the organism in Eukaryota, Metazoa, Chordata, Testudines, Geoemydidae. The record is from RefSeq and is a predicted model, not a curated record.